RNAcentral lists this ribosomal RNA (253 nucleotides) under uncultured bacterium. Its description in RNAcentral is "partial 16S ribosomal RNA". It matches the Rfam family "Bacterial small subunit ribosomal RNA", at positions 524 to 776 of the family's 1533-position model. The record is from RNAcentral.
UACGGGGGGGGCAAGCGUUGUUCGGAAUUACUGGGCGUAAAGGGCUCGUAGGCGGCCAACUAAGUCAUACGUGAAAUCCCUCGGCUUAACCGGGGAACUGCGUCUGAUACUGGAUGGCUUGAGUUCGGGAGAGGGAUGCGGAAUUCCAGGUGUAGCGGUGAAAUGCGUAGAUAUCAGGAGGAACACCGGUGGCGAAGGCGGGUCUCUGGGCCGAUACUGACGCUGAGGAGCGAAAGCGUGGGGAGCGAACAGG